RNAcentral lists this ribosomal RNA (433 nucleotides) under uncultured bacterium. RNAcentral's name for it is "bacterial SSU rRNA". It matches the Rfam family "Bacterial small subunit ribosomal RNA", at positions 29 to 506 of the family's 1533-position model. The record is from RNAcentral.
AACGAACGCUGGCGGCAUGCCUAACACAUGCAAGUCGAACGAAGUCUUCGGACUUAGUGGCGCACGGGUGCGUAACGCGUGGGAAUCUGCCCUUGGGUGCGGAAUAACUUCUCGAAAGGGAUGCUAAUACCGCAUAAUGUCGUAAGACCAAAGAUUUAUCGCCCAAGGAUGAGCCCGCGUAAGAUUAGCUAGUUGGUGGGGUAAAAGCCUACCAAGGCGACGAUCUUUAGCUGGUCUGAGAGGAUGAUCAGCCACACUGGGACUGAGACACGGCCCCAGACUCCUACGGGAGGCAGCAGUGGGGAAUAUUGGACAAUGGGCGAAAGCCUGAUCCAGCAAUGCCGCGUGAGUGAUGAAGGCCCUAGGGUUGUAAAGCUCUUUUACCAGGGAUGAUAAUGACAGUACCUGGAGAAUAAGCUCCGGCUAACUCCGU